Molecule: long non-coding RNA, 161 nt
Organism: Corvus hawaiiensis (hawaiian crow)
Lineage: Eukaryota; Metazoa; Chordata; Aves; Passeriformes; Corvidae
Exons: 3
Source: RefSeq, a predicted model, not a curated record
UACACAUUGCACGCUGCACACCAGUGAUUAUGAUUCAGUUCACAGGAAUUGAAAUUUCAGCCCUGAAAUUCCAGAGCUGGACUGGGCCCUAACAGAGAGAAAGGAAGAAGAAGAAAGUUUCAGCCUUCUGAGUACAGGAAAUAUAGGAUUUCCAGAUCAAG